AUUGAACGCUGGCGGCAGGCCUAACACAUGCAAGUCGAGCGGAUGAAGGGAGCUUGCUCCUGGAUUCAGCGGCGGACGGGUGAGUAAUGCCUAGGAAUCUGCCUGGUAGUGGGGGAUAACGUCCGGAAACGGGCGCUAAUACCGCAUACGUCCUGAGGGAGAAAGUGGGGGAUCUUCGGACCUCACGCUAUCAGAUGAGCCUAGGUCGGAUUAGCUAGUUGGUGGGGUAAAGGCCUACCAAGGCGACGAUCCGUAACUGGUCUGAGAGGAUGAUCAGGCACAACUGAACCUGAAAACGGUUCAGACUCCUACGGGGAGGAACAGGGGGGAAUUUUUGGAAAUGGGGGAAAGCCUUACUCAAGCAAGGCGGGGUGGGUGAAGAAGGCCUCCGGUUGGAAAACCCCUUUAAGUUGGAAGAAAGGGCAGUAAGUUAAGACCUUGCUUUUUGAAGGUUACCAACAGAAUAAGCACCGCCUAAUUUCGU
This 484-nucleotide ribosomal RNA is filed under the name uncultured bacterium. RNAcentral describes it as "partial 16S ribosomal RNA". It matches the Rfam family "Bacterial small subunit ribosomal RNA", at positions 30 to 506 of the family's 1533-position model. The record is from RNAcentral.